Molecule: long non-coding RNA, 540 nt
Filed under: Mytilus galloprovincialis (Mediterranean mussel)
Lineage: Eukaryota; Metazoa; Mollusca; Bivalvia; Mytilida; Mytilidae
Source: RNAcentral
AAAAACUGGAGUUUUAGAGUUAUAGAAAUGUUAAAAUUGUAUAAUUAUGAGCAAUAUUGUAAUUUUGAAUUAAAUGUAUUGAACAAAAAUUGUAUUAAACAAAUUGAAGAAGAUGUAUUUGAUAAUUUUAAAUCAAAUUGGUGUACAAGAGUUGCUGCAUAUGCAGAGGGAAGUAAAUUGAGGACUUACAAAUUGUUUAAAAAUAACUAUUGUACUGAAAAUUAUUUGCAAAAUAUUAUGUCAUUAAAAAACAGAAGUUCAUUUGCUAAAUUUAGAUGUGGGGUAGCUCCACUAAAAAUAGAAACUGGAAGAUAUUACAGGAAAGAAGUCCACGAGAGGACAUGUUUUAACUGUAGCUCUAUUGUUGAAGAUGAACUACAUGUCAUUUUAAAAUGCCCAUUGUAUGUGGAUCUAAGACAAAUCAUGAUACAUGAAGCGGUACAUUUUAAUGAACAUUUUAACCUUUUAUCAGAUAAUGAAAAAUUUAUAUUUUUAUUUAGUAAUGGCAAUGUUGCUGCUAUAGUUGCCAAAACCUGCAAC